This is a small nucleolar RNA of Brassica oleracea var. oleracea, 137 nucleotides long. It matches the Rfam family "Small nucleolar RNA Z247". From Rfam's summary of the family: Z247 is a member of the C/D class of snoRNA which contain the C (UGAUGA) and D (CUGA) box motifs. The record is from Rfam. NCBI's taxonomy places the organism in Eukaryota, Viridiplantae, Streptophyta, Magnoliopsida, Brassicales, Brassicaceae.
CCUCUGGAUCCAGAAGAUCUCACUGAACAGAUCCUUGCAGGUCUGAGUGAAGACUACAAGCCAGAGAUCGAUGCUAUAAAUGGCCGUGACAAUCCGAUCUCCUUUGCUGAGCUCCAUGAACGUCUGCUCAAUCGGGA